This 236-nucleotide ribosomal RNA is filed under the name uncultured bacterium. Its description in RNAcentral is "partial 16S ribosomal RNA". It matches the Rfam family "Bacterial small subunit ribosomal RNA", at positions 118 to 347 of the family's 1533-position model. The record is from RNAcentral.
UGAGGAACAUGACCUUCGGCGGGGGAGUAGCCGGCCCAACGGCCGGGUAAUACCGCGUACGACCACUUUGGGACAUCCCUCGGUGGUGAAAGCAGCAAUGCGCCGAUGGAGUGCCUCGCGGCCUAUCAGCUAGUUGGUGAGGUAACGGCUCACCAAGGCGACGACGGGUAGCUGGUCUGAGAGGAUGGCCAGCCACAUUGGGACUGAGACACGGCCCAGACUCCGUACGGGAGCAG